UUUCUUUUCUUUUUCUUCCUUUCCCUUUCUUUUCGUAUUUGAUAUGGUAAAUUGUUGCACGUUAUCAUUCGUCGCCUUGUGCUUUUUGUUCGUUUUAGUCGAGCAAAUUUGGGUGUUUUAGCAUUGUGUUUACAUAAACUUGUAAGUGCACUACUUCCUCUUCUUUGGGGUUAUUUGUAUGACUAUUAUUGUUUUAAUUAUUUAGGUUUCUAAAAGAAAGGUAGGAAAAGUGUGGCGGCCGAUUAGUUAUGCAUUGAAUGUAAAUUCGUUGUUUCUGAUUAGGCGGAGAUCGGGAGGCGAUUAACCCUCCAACGAGCUAAGGGUUUGUAAGGCUGUUGUUUCUUUCAAGGGUAAGUGAUUAAUGCCCUAUUUAAGGUCGAAUCUCCGUGUUAAGGUCAAAUAGUUAGCGUUUGCGAUCGAAAAAUGUUUGGAUUUUUAGUAUGUCGCUAUUAAUUCAGUUGCUUUAAAUACUAUUUUAGGGUUUAAAAUUUUGUCGUUGUGUCGCUAUUUAG
Molecule: long non-coding RNA, 512 nt
Filed under: Gossypium barbadense (sea-island cotton)
Lineage: Eukaryota; Viridiplantae; Streptophyta; Magnoliopsida; Malvales; Malvaceae
Description: long non-coding RNA (GBAR_LNC016791)
Source: RNAcentral